Cyanistes caeruleus (blue tit) is the source of this 453-nucleotide long non-coding RNA. RefSeq lists it as uncharacterized. NCBI's taxonomy places the organism in Eukaryota, Metazoa, Chordata, Aves, Passeriformes, Paridae. The record is from RefSeq and is a predicted model, not a curated record.
CGUGAGGGAGAAGCGCGCGCGCGGCCCCGUCGCCGCCUUAGCGCUCCCCCUGAGGGAACAGAACUGGAGUGACGGAAAAGAGAGUCAAAAACAGCCAAAAAGUGACAGAGCCACAGGGUCAUAGAAUAUCCUGUGUUGGAAGGGGACACGCGAGGAUCAUCAAAGUAUUACUCGCCCUGCACGGGACACCCCAACAACUCCGCUGAGCCCUCGGGGUUUCCUCAAGCAAAGACUUCUAACUGAUGGAGAGCAGCCCAGGAGAGAAGGAUUUUAGGUGCUGGUGGAGGAGAGCUGGACAUGCCCCAGGAACCCCCCGAGGCACGGGCAGCAGGGGAGGGGGGGGCUCUGUCCCUCUGCCCUGCUCAGAGACCUGGCAGCCAGCACAGCUCCUGGGAUAGCACUGAAAUACACAUGGUCCAGCAACGGGCACCAUUCCAGUUGUGCAGGGACUCC